RNAcentral lists this ribosomal RNA (482 nucleotides) under uncultured bacterium. RNAcentral describes it as "bacterial SSU rRNA". It matches the Rfam family "Bacterial small subunit ribosomal RNA", at positions 29 to 506 of the family's 1533-position model. The record is from RNAcentral.
GUGAACGCUGGCGGCGUGCUUAACACAUGCAAGUCGAACGGUAACAUGAAUAGCAAUAUUUGAUGACGAGUGGCGCACGGGUGCGUAACGCGUAUGCAAUCUACCUUUAACUGGUGAAUAGCCCGAAGAAAUUCGGAUUAAUACACCAUAGCAUAUUUGAAUGGCAUCAUUUGAAUAUUAAAGUAACAACGGUUAAAGAUGAGCAUGCGUGACAUUAGCUAGUUGGUGAGGUAACGGCUCACCAAGGCUACGAUGUCUAGGGGAUCUGAGAGGAUUAACCCCCACACUGGUACUGAGACACGGACCAGACUCCUACGGGAGGCAGCAGUAAGGAAUAUUGGACAAUGGUCGCAAGACUGAUCCAGCCAUGCCGCGUGCAGGAUGACAGCCCUAUGGGUCGUAAACUGCUUUUGUGCGAGAAAAAACCCCUCUACGUGUAGAGGGCUGAUUGUAUCGUAAGAAUAAGGAUCGGCUAACUCCGU